Molecule: ribosomal RNA, 1372 nt
Filed under: uncultured bacterium
Lineage: Bacteria
Description: bacterial SSU rRNA
Rfam family: Bacterial small subunit ribosomal RNA
Source: RNAcentral
GAUGAACGCUGGCGGCGUGCCUAAUACAUGCAAGUCGAGCGAACGGACGAGAAGCUUGCUUCUCUGAUGUUAGCGGCGGACGGGUGAGUAACACGUGGAUAACCUACCUAUAAGACUGGGAUAACUUCGGGAAACCGGAGCUAAUACCGGAUAAUAUUUUGAACCGCAUGGUUCAAAAGUGAAAGACGGUCUUGCUGUCACUUAUAGAUGGAUCCGCGCUGCAUUAGCUAGUUGGUAAGGUAACGGCUUACCAAGGCAACGAUGCAUAGCCGACCUGAGAGGGUGAUCGGCCACACUGGAACUGAGACACGGUCCAGACUCCUACGGGAGGCAGCAGUAGGGAAUCUUCCGCAAUGGGCGAAAGCCUGACGGAGCAACGCCGCGUGAGUGAUGAAGGUCUUCGGAUCGUAAAACUCUGUUAUUAGGGAAGAACAUAUGUGUAAGUAACUGUGCACAUCUUGACGGUACCUAAUCAGAAAGCCACGGCUAACUACGUGCCAGCAGCCGCGGUAAUACGUAGGUGGCAAGCGUUAUCCGGAAUUAUUGGGCGUAAAGCGCGCGUAGGCGGUUUUUUAAGUCUGAUGUGAAAGCCCACGGCUCAACCGUGGAGGGUCAUUGGAAACUGGAAAACUUGAGUGCAGAAGAGGAAAGUGGAAUUCCAUGUGUAGCGGUGAAAUGCGCAGAGAUAUGGAGGAACACCAGUGGCGAAGGCGACUUUCUGGUCUGUAACUGACGCUGAUGUGCGAAAGCGUGGGGAUCAAACAGGAUUAGAUACCCUGGUAGUCCACGCCGUAAACGAUGAGUGCUAAGUGUUAGGGGGUUUCCGCCCCUUAGUGCUGCAGCUAACGCAUUAAGCACUCCGCCUGGGGAGUACGACCGCAAGGUUGAAACUCAAAGGAAUUGACGGGGACCCGCACAAGCGGUGGAGCAUGUGGUUUAAUUCGAAGCAACGCGAAGAACCUUACCAAAUCUUGACAUCCUUUGACAACUCUAGAGAUAGAGCCUUCCCCUUCGGGGGACAAAGUGACAGGUGGUGCAUGGUUGUCGUCAGCUCGUGUCGUGAGAUGUUGGGUUAAGUCCCGCAACGAGCGCAACCCUUAAGCUUAGUUGCCAUCAUUAAGUUGGGCACUCUAAGUUGACUGCCGGUGACAAACCGGAUGAAGGUGGGGAUGACGUCAAAUCAUCAUGCCCCUUAUGAUUUGGGCUACACACGUGCUACAAUGGACAAUACAAAGGGCAGCGAAACCGCGAGGUCAAGCAAAUCCCAUAAAGUUGUUCUCAGUUCGGAUUGUAGUCUGCAACUCGACUACAUGAAGCUGGAAUCGCUAGUAAUCGUAGAUCAGCAUGCUACGGUGAAUACGUUCCCGGGUCU